UACGUGGGGUGCGAGCGUUGUCCGGAAUUAUUGGGCGUAAAGAGCUCGUAGGCGGUCUGUCGCGUCGAUCGUGAAAACUUGGGGCUUAACCCUGAGCUUGCGGUCGAUACGGGCAUGACUGGAGUUCGGCAGGGGAGACUGGAAUUCCUGGUGUAGCGGUGAAAUGCGCAGAUAUCAGGAGGAACACCGGUGGCGAAGGCGGGUCGCUGGGCCGAUACUGACGCUGAGGAGCGAAAGCGUGGGGAGCGAACAGG
Molecule: ribosomal RNA, 254 nt
Filed under: uncultured bacterium
Lineage: Bacteria
Description: partial 16S ribosomal RNA
Rfam family: Bacterial small subunit ribosomal RNA
Source: RNAcentral